UCCCUAUAAGAACACACAGUAAUUGUUAGCUUUAAGGAACUCCACAAAGUUGAUGAAAAGAUGACCACUAAAAUGAGAAUGUUGCUGAAGAAGCAGAAUCGCCAUACUAGCACGUCAUUCACUCUCCUCUAUUUGGAUCAAGUAAGGCUUGCUGGAUGAAGUACAACUAAACAACUGUCAGGAUAGGAAUCAGGAAGCUGGGUUUAGAAACCAACAACUUCAGUAUCAGCAAUUAUUGGAACUGAGUUCAAGAUCUAAGUAUAUGUACAAAAAAACCUGCAGCAAUUAUUUAUAUACAUUGUUAACAUAAAUAAGAGUUCUUUAAGCAUGUGCAUUGAAAUAAUAACCGUCUCCAGUAGCUUAUGCAGAUUCCAGGUGACAGCAUGUAUUCUGUAGUGGCAUGCGCCAAACACUAUCUCAAGUAUCCAAGGUAGCAGCAUGUAUUCUGUAGUGGCAUGCGCCACACACUAUCUCAAGUAUCCAAGGUAGCACUAGGGCAAUGCUUAUGAAGUCAAUUGUGUCCCCUACAGAACUAGCAUGCAAUUGAGGAAUAUAAACAGGAGAUGAUUGGAGGUGCUAAUAUUUGCACAAACAUCUUAAAGUAGGAGGCUGCCCUUAUACAUUUGCUUAUUUUGCCAAGAAAUUCACGAGGUGGUCCUUGAGUUGGAAGAACUCCCUCUGUGUUGCUCGACUCCCUCUCAAAGUUUUUUCAAAAUCCUAGUUUUACUGCCUCAUCUGCCAAACUAUUUCGCAUGUGCUUCAUAUCCAAUAAAAUCCUCCAACUUACCCCAUCUUUUGGUUCAAUCAAGACCAAAAACAUAAAUCAGCAGUCAAAUUAUUUAUAGCUGUCAAUAGACUU
RNAcentral lists this long non-coding RNA (859 nucleotides) under Nicotiana tabacum (common tobacco). RNAcentral describes it as "long non-coding RNA (NTAB_LNC001954)". The record is from RNAcentral. Lineage: Eukaryota; Viridiplantae; Streptophyta; Magnoliopsida; Solanales; Solanaceae.